GCUCCCUGGUUGAUCCUGCCAGUAGUCAUAUGCUCGUCUCAAAGAUUAAGCCAUGCAUGUCUCAGUGCAAGCCGCAUUAAGGUGAAACCGCGGAUGGCUCAUUAAAUCAGUCAUGGUUCCUUGGACGUAGCCCGGUUACAUGGAUAACUGUGGCAAUUCUAGAGCUAAUACAUGCAAUCUAGGCCUCGGCCGCAGAGCGCGGAAGGGGCGCAGUUAUUAGAUCAAAACCAACCGGAUUCCGUUUCCCUCUCGCAGGGUUCGGAUCCGCCGUUGAACUUUGGUGACUCUGAAUAAAUGAGGACAUUAUGCGGAUCGCACGGCCCUCGCGCCGGCGACGCGUCCUUCAAACGUCUGCCUUAUCAACUGUCGACGGCAGAUUCUGUGCCUGCCGUGGUCGUAACGGGUAACGGGGAAUCAGGGUUCGAUUCCGGAGAGGGAGCCUGAGAAACGGCUACCACAUCCAAGGAAGGCAGCAGGCGCGCAAAUUACCCACUCCCGGCACGAGGAGGUAGUGACGAAAAAUAACGAUGCGGGACUCAUCCGAGGCCCCGUAAUCGGAAUGGGCACACUUUAAAUCCUUUGACGAGGACCCAUUGGAGGGCAAUUCUGGUGCCAGCCGCCGCGGUAAUUCCAGAUCCAAUAGCGUAUACUAAAGCUGUUGCGGUUAAAAAGCUCGUAGUCGGACCUGUGUCCCGCUGUGUCGGUACGCCGCCCGACGGCGUUUGACUGGCAUGCACGCGAGGACGUCCUGACGGUUCGGGCAGAGGUCCCGGGUCGCGCUUCCCGUUCGGCUGUCGGUUCGCAGACGCGAGACAAGACGGGUUCGCCCCCCCAGCGGCGUAUCCCGUCCUCUCCGUUGCCGGCACGUCCGGGCGAGGAUCCCCGCGGCUCGCGGUCCCUCCCGACGAUGGGUCUGGUCUCAUCCCGCCGCGGUGCUCUUAACCGAGUGUCUCGACGGGCCGUCACGUUUACUUUGAACAAAUUAGAGUGCUCAAAUCAGGCGAACAUCCGCCCGAAUAUCGGUGCAUGGAAUAAUGGAACAGGACCUCGGUUCUAUUUUGUUGGUUUUCGGAGUCCCCGAGGUAAUGAUCAAUAGGGACAGACGGGGGCAUUCGUACUGCGGCGUUAGAGGUGAAAUUCUUGGAUCGUCGCAUGACGGACGGAAGCGAAAGCAUUUGCCAAGCAUGUUUUCUCUGAUCAAGAACGAAAGUCAGAGGUUCGAAGGCGAUCAGAUACCGCCCUAGUUCUGACCAUAAACGAUGCCAGCCAGCGAUCCGCCGAAGUUCCUCCGAUGACUCGGCGGGCAGCUUCCGGGAAACCAAAGCUUUUGGGUUCCGGGGGGAGUAUGGUUGCAAAGCUGAAACUUAAAGGCAUUGACGGAAGGGCACCACCAGCAGUGGGGCCUGCGGCUUAAUUUGACUCAACACGGGAAAACUCACCAAGCCCGGACACCGGAAGGAUUGACAGGUUGAGAGCCCUUUCUUGAUUCGGUGGGUGGUGGUGCAUGGCCGUUCUUAGUUCGUGGGGCGACUUGUCUGGUUGAUUCCGAUAACGAACGAGACUCCGGCCUGCUAACUAGUCGGGUCCGGCAUCCGCCGCGCUGCCGGCGACGAUGAAUCUUCUUAGAGGGACAAGCUGCGUCCAGCAGCACGAGAUGGAGCGAUAACAGGUCUGUGAUGCCCUUAGAUGUCUUGGGCCGCACGCGCGCCACACUGAACGAGACAGCGUGUAAUUCCUUGGCCGAGAGGUCCGGGUAACCCGUUGAAACUCGUUCGUGAUGGGGAUCGGGGCUUGAAAUUGUUCCCCGUAAACGAGGAAUUCCAAGUAAUCGCCGGUCAUAAGCCCGCGCUGAUUAAGUCCCUGCCCUUUGUACACACCGCCCGUCGCUACUACCGAUUGAAUGGUUUAGUGAGGGCUUUGGACCGGCGGAAGAGAGCCGCCGUUAACUCGGCCUCUCGUCCCAGCCGGAAAGAUGUCCGAACUUGACCAUUUAGAGGAAGUAAAAGUCGUAACAAGGUUGCCGUAGGUGAACCUGUGGCAGGACCAUCA
This 2049-nucleotide ribosomal RNA is filed under the name Margattea limbata. RNAcentral describes it as "SSU rRNA". It matches the Rfam family "Eukaryotic small subunit ribosomal RNA". The record is from RNAcentral. Lineage: Eukaryota; Metazoa; Arthropoda; Insecta; Blattodea; Pseudophyllodromiidae.